Molecule: long non-coding RNA, 739 nt
Filed under: Rattus norvegicus (Norway rat)
Lineage: Eukaryota; Metazoa; Chordata; Mammalia; Rodentia; Muridae
Description: long non-coding RNA NONRATT023005
Source: RNAcentral
GGUUGUAAAGGAGAAAAGACCAGAGUUGCCUCCUUGACCUGAUUCCUUCCAGAAAGGCUGAGUGCGUGAAUGCCAGUGUCCAACUCAUUCUCAUACCUACUCCCAAGUCCCUGGACUCUCACCUUCAGGAAAAACAACGGAUUAUGCAUUUGAGAUGGCGGUCUCGAACAUUAGAUAUGGAGCAGGGGUUACAAAGGAAGUGGGCAUGGCAAGUAUUUGAGAUGUCUGCAGCGUCUACAGGUUAUAUCUUGUAAACACAUGUGUCAAAGGACCAAUAAUCAAGUCCUUUGUUCUUUUUUUAAUGUGUGUUUAUUUAAUGUACCAGUGCUCUAUCUGCAUGUAUACCUAUGUGCCAGAAGAGGGCAUCAGAUCCUGUUAUAGACAGCUGUGAGCCACCAUGUGGAUUUGAACUCAGGUCCUCUGGAAGAGCGGCCAGUGCUACUUAACCAUUGAGCCAUCUCUCUAGCACCAAGUCUUUUGUUCUUAAAGAGCACAUUAAACUUGCCCUAAAGGUGCUGCUCUCCGAGCCUAACUUAUGAGUUAAUUUUUAUUGUAGGAUCUACAGAAUAUGGGAGCUAAGAAUGUCUGCCUGAUGACAGACAAGAACCUCUCCCAGCUCCCUCCUGUCCAAAUAGUUAUGGAUUCCCUAUCGAAGAAUGGCAUUAGUUUUCAGGUUUAUGACAACGUGAGGGUGGAGCCUACAGACGGAAGGUAACACUGUGUGCUUCUUAGUUACUUA